GUGCCAGCCGCCGCGGUAAUACGUAGGGUGCGAGCGUUGUCCGGAAUUACUGGGCGUAAAGAGCUCGUAGGUGGUUUGUCGCGUUGUUCGUGAAAUCUCACGGCUUAACUGUGAGCGUGCGGGCGAUACGGGCAGACUAGAGUACUGCAGGGGAGACUGGAAUUCCUGGUGUAGCGGUGGAAUGCGCAGAUAUCAGGAGGAACACCGGUGGCGAAGGCGGGUCUCUGGGCAGUAACUGACGCUGAGGAGCGAAAGCUUGGGGAGCGAACAGGAUUAGAUACCCUGGUAGUCCACGCCGUAAACGGUGGGUACUAGGUGUGGGUUUCCUUCCUUGGGAUCCGUGCCGUAGCUAACGCAUUAAGUACCCCGCCUGGGGAGUACGGCCGCAAGGCUAAAACUCAAAGGAAUUGACGGGGGCCCGCACAAGCGGCGGAGCAUGUGGAUUAAUUCGAUGCAACGCGAAGAACCUUACCUGGGUUUGACAUGCACAGGACGCGUCUAGAGAUAGGCGUUCCCUUGUGGCCUGUGUGCAGGUGGUGCGUGGCUGUCGUCAGCUCGUGUCGUGAGAUGUUGGGUUAAGUCCCGCAACGAGCGCAACCCUUGUCUCAUGUUGCCAGCGGGUAAUGCCGGGGACUCGUGAGAGACUGCCGGGGUCAACUCGGAGGAAGGUGGGGAUGACGUCAAGUCAUCAUGCCCCUUAUGUCCAGGGCUUCACACAUGCUACAAUGGCCGGUACAAAGGGCUGCGAUGCCGUAAGGUUAAGCGAAUCCUCUUAAAGCCGGUCUCAGUUCGGAUUGGGGUCUGCAACUCGACCCCAUGAAGUCGGAGUCGCUAGUAAUCGCAGAUCAGCAACGCUGCGGUGAAUACGUUCCCGGGCCUUGCACACACCGCCCGUC
RNAcentral lists this ribosomal RNA (896 nucleotides) under uncultured organism. Its description in RNAcentral is "SSU rRNA". It matches the Rfam family "Bacterial small subunit ribosomal RNA", at positions 505 to 1398 of the family's 1533-position model. The record is from RNAcentral.